CAGAUCGAUACAGCAUGCGCGCUCACUCUUCGACAACAAUUCCGCCGGGUUGGACCCGUGCUGAUUCUGCGGUUGCGAAAUAUGUCACGGAGAAAAGUCUCGCGUUUUCUGUCGCGUCACAACAUCGACAGUAAUCGAAACCUACUCGUUACGUAAAUGGAAAAAGUGCGAAUGAUUAAUGACAGUGUAACGUACAAUUGCUACUGUUUCAUUUAUCGUUAAUCUUCAUUAUAAAUUUGAAACUUAAUCGUGUCUGCAAGAAUUACACAACAUGGGGACUAGAUUCGCAGCUUUUGCACUGAAGUUGACCAGCCUCCACGACUAUUAUCUAAGACUCCUGCAUGGGAAUCAACCGAUUCCCUCGGGUUUGGACAUGGCAAACACAGUGAAAUUCUGUUCCCAAAUGCUGCUGUCGUUACUGAAGGAGGUCCGCGAGGCUCCUCUGGAGAUGGUGAAAUCGGAGAAGUGCGACGCGGAACGCAUGGCUCUUUACCCGAACUUGGACUACAAACAACUGUACAACGCCCUCACUCAGCUGAUCGACGUAAUCCCCGCCAUUCACAUCGGUCUGCAGGCAUUCGGCCAGGCGCUGCUGCAAUGCCUCGCGUGUCUCUUGCCAUUUCUGGAUCACGACAUGAUCGACAACAUUCCUUAUUUGACGGCAAGCACGAUCUCGGUGCUUCCGGUGGAACAUCAUCAGGAUAUCGUUAACAAUCUCUGCUUCUACAUUCUCCCGUUCACAAUCACAAGAAAAACUGAGGACGGCUCGGAAAACGCAGCAAGUCAGUCGAUAGCCGCGGUCAUCAUGAUGAUUUUCCAAUACUCCAGCAAUCCAGCACAUCAUUGUCAGCUGUUGGAAUGCUUGAUGGCGUUGAAACCAGGUGUUGUAAAGGACCUUCUUUGCGUGAUUGCUUACGGCACGGCACCGGCAAGAGCGUCGGCUGCUAAAUUGUUGUUCUACUACUGGCCAUCCUUCAACCCUAAUCUCUUCGACCGUCGGGCAGUCUUAAUGAAAUUCGCGAAUGAUUUGACACCGUUCGUCUGUCAGAGAGACUCUUGUCCUAACGCUGGCAACGCGGAGGCUGGCAAAGUUUGCUAUGACCAUCGAAUUUCUAUCACGUUCGCGAAUGAGACACCGCCACCCUUGUAUCUUUGUAUCGAAUGCGCCAACGAGAUACAUAGGACGCAUCCAAAUAUGUUCUACGACAUUUUGCAUCCUAUGCAACAGGUGUCAAUGGUAUGCGAAAACAAGAACUGCAGAGCGACGGACAAGUCAGCGAUAAGUGUCUGUUUCUCGACGGAAUGCGCGAGUUACAACGGGAAUCAUCCGAUUCGUUACUGCGAGCAGUGCCAUAAUAUUCGGCAUAACAAGCGUCGAGGAGGCGAUCAUGUCUAUCACACGGCCCUGCCGCAUAUCUCGAAGAUGGAUUCGCAAACGCAGACGUAUAUGAUCCAGGCGAUCGUCAGUUUGCUCUAAUCACGUUCAAUGGAAAUAUCAAAUUUCAUUAAAUCAAUUGAAUUCUAUAAUGAUAAAGUUCCAUUAAACGUGGUUAAUCAAUAUGCUCCAUAUUAUGGUUUCCAAAUAUUCAGAAACGGACGAGAUGCAUGCGGUCGUAAUACAACUUAAAACAAGAGUCCUAUUCAUUUCUAUUAUAAUAUUGAAUUAUUCAUUUAUGGAAUUAUGUUCUUAAAUUCAUUAAAUGGAAUGUGAUCUUCAUCUAUCCAUACUAAACUCGUUAAACACCCAAUUACUGUAUUAAACUUUUUUCGCUAACGUCAAUAAUUAAUUAAUAAAUAAAAUUGUUUAUUGCAAAACCUUCGUCCAUGCAAGAAAUAUUUCAGUCAAUUAUUAGUACACUUUUUGACAGAGUGAACUUACUAUUCUUUCUUAUACUGUAGUCCAGUUAUAAGUAUCGAUUAAUACUUAUAUCGGAAUAAAAAAAUUUUUACAAUUUGUGUUUCCUUCCCUUUAAUUAAAUCAACGUUUCAAGCCCUUAAUUAAUGUAUUUAUCAGUCACGUCGCGUGCAUCUCGAUCCGUGGCCACGCUAUCGCUCCCAGGCUUCAAAGGUCUCUCAAAAUCCGCGCACUGAUAAACUAUUUUUCAAUCUGACAAUUGUUGAAACGAUUUAAUCGAAAGUAGAACAUUAGAACUGUAAUUGGAGGAUAAAUAUGAGAGAGACGUUUGAGGCCGGAUGACUGGCUAGCUGGACAAGUUUUUCAAGCCAGCGAGAGAAAGACAUACACGUGACUACGAACCACAUUCUGGCUCACGGUAGAGGCAUAUAGGAAAAGCGCACCUUAAAAGUUGCAAUGCGAGGACACCGCGCUGUAUUCACGUCCUGGAUACGAAACACCAGCACUGCACACCCGGUACCGUUCCCCCAACAAAAAGCGAGACACACUGGUAUGCUGCAUGAACAUGGGACUCAUGGCUAACGGAACACUAAUCACAAAUAUUUAUUCCUUUCUGUUUUCCUGAUUAUUUCACUCUAAAAUUAACAGAGUUUCACUUUUACGUAUCUUCUGAUAGAACUCUGCAAAAGACUGAUUUCUCUAACGAAUUCUAGAAUCUCUUUUUUAUUUAUUCUAUUGACGUCUAUCAGUUGACUUUCACAAUCAAUUUUUAAUGAACACGUUACACGUAGUCACAACUGCAACUAGCAUGAUUCCUCACUUAAAACGCAGAACACAGAACGAUUGAAAUACGAAUUCUCUUUGAAUAUUCAUCUGAAAGAUUUCAUUUCUUCCUACUAACUUCUUCUAAUGUAAUCGUAAUUGUAAUCACGAUCCGAAGUCGCGUCUGAUCAAAUAAACUUUGUGGUCGACAUGUUACGAAACGAUCAGGUUUUGAAUAUUUUAUAUUUUUCAGCAACAUGAUUGAAUUAUUGAUCGACAUUGUCUAUUUAUCUAAUAUAAAACUUGCUGGAUUUUUUCACGAUUUUAUUACUAUUGUAAAAUAAUUAAGUAUGAUUCAGAUUGUCAAAUGAUCUGUGAAACGUUGCUGAGGGUGAUCGUGAAAGAAUUCAAACCACCAUUGAACGUGGAAACUGCGAUUCUUCGACGUUCGAUGCUAUUUCGUUUGAUUGGUCGUCUUAAAUCGCUGAGAAGAAAUUUCAAAUGUAAAUUGGGAAAUGUAUUAUUAAGGAAUUCAAUAUUCAAUGUCUUAAAUAAAUUAAGAAUUCAACAUUAUCAAUGAGUGACAUAUUGGAUCUUACGAAUUCUAUAAUAUUAUCAAUAAAUUGAUUAUUUAAUUUAUUAAUUAAUUACGUAUUUAACAUAUUCAUAUUUAACAUAAUUAAAAUUUUGCCAUUGUUUCAAAUAUUAUCGAUCCAUUAUAUCAUUCUAACACUUGCUACUAUUUUUCAAGAACUUUCAACGACUUGAUGAAGUAUAUUAAGCAUAAUUUGCAAUUGGCUGAUAAAAUAAAUAAUACUUAAUAAUAUUAUAUUUGAUAUUGUCUAUAAAUUGCGAUUUCAAGCGACUACUUGUCAUGGAGAAUGUCGAUUGUAAAAAAGUGAAGAUCUCUUUCAAAAUUCAUGCUCGAAAAAUUGCGGUCACAAGAAUGCGACCACAAUCGGACGCGGCCGGGGAUCGCGUCCGUCAUCCCACUGACCACGAUCCGUCUCUGCUUGCAGCCUGCUUAAGGAAGCUGAACCGCUAAGAUUCCCAGGGAGCGGUAGCGGUGGCGGCGGGAGCGGCGGGGGUGCCGGUUCCGGUAGCCAAUUCGACUCUGC
This is an RNA transcript of Ceratina calcarata, 3735 nucleotides long. It is a transcript of the gene named protein unc-79 homolog, with no coding region annotated. The record is from RefSeq and is a predicted model, not a curated record. The transcript is spliced from 10 exons. Lineage: Eukaryota; Metazoa; Arthropoda; Insecta; Hymenoptera; Apidae.